UGGGGAAUAUUGGGCAAUGGGCGCAAGCCUGACCCAGCAACGCCGCGUGAAGGAAGAAGGCUUUCGGGUUGUAAACUUCUUUUCUCAGGGACGAAGCAAGUGACGGUACCUGAGGAAUAAGCCACGGCUAACUACGUGCCAGCAGCCGCGGUAAUACGUAGGUGGCAAGCGUUAUCCGGAUUUACUGGGUGUAAAGGGCGUGUAGGCGGGACUGCAAGUCAGAUGUGAAAACCAUGGGCUCAACCUGUGGCCUGCAUUUGAAACUGUAGUUCUUGAGUACUGGAGAGGCAGACGGAAUUCCUA
Molecule: ribosomal RNA, 303 nt
Filed under: uncultured bacterium
Lineage: Bacteria
Description: bacterial SSU rRNA
Rfam family: Bacterial small subunit ribosomal RNA
Source: RNAcentral